GGGGGUGUGGCUCAAUGGUACAGCACUGGCUUUGCAUGCAGAAAGUCCCAGGUUCGAUCCCAGGCAUCUUCA
RNAcentral lists this transfer RNA (72 nucleotides) under Sphaerodactylus townsendi. Its description in RNAcentral is "tRNA-Ala". It matches the Rfam family "tRNA". Rfam says of the family: Transfer RNA (tRNA) molecules are approximately 80 nucleotides in length. Their secondary structure includes four short double-helical elements and three loops (D, anti-codon, and T loops). The record is from RNAcentral. Lineage: Eukaryota; Metazoa; Chordata; Lepidosauria; Squamata; Sphaerodactylidae.